GACGAACGCUGGCGGCGUGCCUAAUACAUGCAAGUGGGACGCAAGGGAACACACUGUGCUUGCACACCGUGUUUUCUUGAGUCGCGAACGGGUGAGUAACGCGUAGGUAACCUGCCUAUUAGCGGGGGAUAACUAUUGGAAACGAUAGCUAAUACCGCAUAAUAUUAAUUAUUGCAUGAUAAUUGAUUGAAAGAUGCAAGCGCAUCACUAGUAGAUGGACCUGCGUUGUAUUAGCUAGUUGGUAAGGUAAGAGCUUACCAAGGCGACGAUACAUAGCCGACCUGAGAGGGUGAUCGGCCACACUGGGACUGAGACACGGCCCAGACUCCUACGGGAGGCAGCAGUAGGGAAUCUUCGGCAAUGGACGAAAGUCUGACCGAGCAACGCCGCGUGAGUGAAGAAGGUUUUCGGAUCGUAAAGCUCUGUUGUAAGUCAAGAACGUGUGCGAGGGUGA
RNAcentral lists this ribosomal RNA (454 nucleotides) under Streptococcus mutans. RNAcentral describes it as "bacterial SSU rRNA". It matches the Rfam family "Bacterial small subunit ribosomal RNA", at positions 28 to 464 of the family's 1533-position model. Lineage: Bacteria; Bacillati; Bacillota; Bacilli; Lactobacillales; Streptococcaceae. The record is from RNAcentral.